GUCCUUUUGAAAAUAAUUUAAGGUCGCGCCUGCUCAAUGACUAUAGUUAAAUAGCUGCAGUAUCUUGACUGUACUAAGGUAGCAUAAUCAUUAGUUUCUUAAUUAGGAACUGGAAUGAAGGGCUUGAUGAAAAAAUAACUGUCUCUUUUAUAUUUAUUGAAAUUAAUUUUUAAGUAAAAAAGCUUAAAUUUAAUUAAAAGACGAGAAGACCCUAUAGAGUUUUAUAAUUAAUUAAUUUAAAUUAAUGAGGGUUAAAAUUUAUUUUUAUUAAUAUAAUUAUUUGAUUGGGGUGAUUAAAAAAUUAAUUGAACUUUUAUUUAAUAAAACUUAAAUGUAAGAUUAGUUUGAUCCGUGUAUAAUGAUUAUAAGAAUAAAUUACCUUAGGGAUAACAGCGUAAUCUUUUUUUAGAGUUCUAAUCGAUAAAAGGGAUUGCGA
This 436-nucleotide ribosomal RNA is filed under the name Cryptocephalus saucius. Its description in RNAcentral is "partial 16S large subunit ribosomal RNA". It matches the Rfam family "Bacterial large subunit ribosomal RNA", at positions 1825 to 2523 of the family's 2925-position model. Lineage: Eukaryota; Metazoa; Arthropoda; Insecta; Coleoptera; Chrysomelidae. The record is from RNAcentral.